CGAGCAGGCCGGCUGGGACAGGUCACUGCCUGGAGCCCCGCACGCCAGCCUAGGCCAAGCGCACCCACAGGCCUUCCCAAGUCUCCAGGCGGCGGCCCCGCCCCUUCCGGUUGGGCGCCCCUGGACUUCCGGUUCCUCCUCUGUGUCUGGUCUGUUGUAGGUGUCGGGUCGCAAUCAUCUCCGUCUCAAGGCCUGUCGCUCGUCACCCGUCACACACAGCCUCCCCGGCCCCACAAGGCCGUUCUCAGUGACUUCGAGGGGAAGCUUCAUAAUCCAUGUCCAACAAUCAAACAAGUCAUGUGUCCUGGAAUCAGACUGGCCGAGGGAAAACUAAAUGGCCUUUUCUGAAGUGAACAACAUCUUAAUUGCUUUGAGAUCCAAAUCAUAGUUGACGAAGCUCCAUGGACAUUGAGGAUCACACUGGCCUCAGGGCUGGGGAGGAUGGAGUUACGGAUGGCUGUGAGGAGCCUCCCCAUGGCCACUCUGGGUGCCCAGACUGCUCCGCUGGUGUUGGCAUCUCACUGACGGGACGGAAAGGUGUGGUUUCCACCAGGCUGGAGCCAGAUGGCACCCACAGAAGCAGAUAGAAAACAGAGAGGGCCAGAAGUGAUCUUAAGACCAUGUCGAUAACUCACAGUCGUGAGGUUGCCAGGGAUGGGGGUAUUGCCAGGGAAGUAUUGGGAGUUUGGGGUUAGCAGAUGUGAACUGGUAAAAUAGGAUGGAUUAACAACCAAGUCCUCCUGUAGAGCACAGGGAACUCUACUCAGUAUCUUGUGAUAGACAAUAAUGGGACCAUAAUGGGAAAGAACAUACGUAUAUAUGUGUAACUCAGUAACUUUGCUGUACGGUAGAAAUGAACACAACGUUGUAAAUUGACUAUACUUCAACAAAAUUAAAAAACAAACAAACAGUGCUGAUGUUUAAAACAGAUGUCCCAGGUGGGGACAAGUGGCCAUGCUGAUCCACAGAGUUUUCAGGCCUGACCCCCACACUCCUCAUUUAUACAGUCCUUCCCAGACUGGUAGAAUUUCUUUUUGCAAAAUUAUCCCUGUCUAAUCCAUAGAGACGAAAGUGGAUUAGUGGUUGCCAGGGGCUGAGGGGGGAGGGGCAGGAGAUGGGGAGUGACUGCUAAUGGGUGUGGGAUUCUUUGGGGGGCGAUGACAGUGUUCUGGAAUUAGUGGCGAUGGCUGCUCGGCUCUUGAACGUGCUGAAAACGUGGCACUGUACAGUCUAAAAGGGUGCAUUGGGUGGUGUGGCAGUGACAUCUCAAUAAAGCUAUUUAAGAAGUACCCGUGCCGCUCGUUGCUGGCCCGACUCCAGCUUCUGGACCUCUGGUCUCCAGCUAUGGUGGCAGGCUCCCAGGAGGUGACUCUGCCAGUCCUGCCGGCUGUACUGGACUCUGUCGUCAGCCUUUGCUUCUGCCCAAACACUUGCAGAAGUUGUCACGUGCAGAGCGCUUGAGGACCAAGCUGGGGUCAGAAUUCUGAGCUGCACCUGAAGCAUAGAGGGCCUGGACUUGUGCUGCAGCGUGACACUGAUGUGUAAAGUCCCUGUAGGAGGAAAACCAGAGUGCGCCGUGGGAUCCAGGCAACGGGGUGGAAGGAGACAAGGGGCCUUUUCUUUCUGGACUCUUGGCAACGACCGGACCCUCUGAAAAGAUUCAUGGUUACCCGUCAUUAGGUCAGCAGGGAGACGGCAGAGCUGCCCAGAAUCAGGCCUCGGGUCCCCCAGCACCGGGGCUGGGGCAUGGACAGUGACAGCCCCGUCAGCAAGUUCCUGCUGGGGCGCCGCAGGUGCCUUGGGCAGCCCUACCGUGUUCGCUCUUCUUUCUCUUGCCAUCCCUUUAUUUUAAAUGUUUAAUGAAUUAAAAAAACUAGUAGUCUAGACAGGCUUAGAAACAGGAACUUCCUUCUCCUAGCCUCGACAUGGGAUGUCUCCAGGGGACACAUUGGUGUCUUGAGGACUGGCUUGCAGAGGGCCACCACUAGGCCCAGGGAGUGGCACUUGCGGGAUAGAAAAUGAAAGCAGGCAGAAUCUGGGUGUAAAAAGUGGGGUCUCCAGGACUACAGAGAUGUCGCCAAGACCACACUGCUUAUUGGCGUCCUCCCACAGCUCUGCUCUGCCUGGGCCCAUCCACCUCCUGCUGGCACCACACCCGCUGCAGAAAAAGGUGACCUUCUGAUGCCCUUGGGCCACACGCCACCUUCCUCCUGCCUCACUGGUCAAAGAAGGAGCCCUGGGCCAGACAGGGGUCUCCAGAAGAGUGAAGAGAGACCACAGCUGCGGAUCCACCGGCGGCACAGCCCAGCCACCGCCCAGGAGCAGCCCGUAGAUUCCAGAGAAAGCUCCUGGCUCUGUGCAGCACCUCCUGGACGCAGCCCCCGCCCCCAACCCCCACAAGGCCCAGUGGAUGGGAGCGACCAUUUGCUGUAGCCUCGGGCCGCGGCUCAGGGUUGUGCUGCAGCCGCACCGGGAGGAGUCCCUGUGCCAGGUCGGCGGGGCCUGCUCUCCUUCCCCGGGCAGGACCGGGAACCGGAACCGGAGGACGGCAGCCCCGCUCAGCAACACUUCUCUUUGUUUACCAGGCACGCCAGGCGGCGGGCCUGCUCUCUCUCCAGCCGCUCUCUCUGCCAGCUUCACGUCCAGCGAGGGACAAAGGGGCCUGCGGCGGAUUAGCUGCCCGGCGGGCAGGCCCGCGGUUCCCGCGGCGGCAGCUGCUCGCCGGCCUUGCCAAGGCGGCCGUCCUGUCCCGUCCCGUUCACUGAGGGCGGAGCGCGGCCCGGGCAGGACGCCUUCUGUGUUUAUCUGCAAGGCCGACCCCGUCCCCGCCCCGUCGGGCCGGCCGGGCCAGGCUGGGGGCCGCGGGGUCAGCGGCGGACAAUGGGCGGGCGCGCGCGCGUCCGCCCGACUCCGGGCCUUUGUUGCGGGAGCCUCGUGCCGAUGGGUUAAUGGGGCAGAAGCGAUCGGUGAAGGGCGACAGAAGUGGGCUUUGAAAGAGGGUGUCAGCGCAGGGCGGCGAGACAAAGGCCAAAACACACACGGGCGGAGAGGGACAGAUGGGGACGGGCGGCGGAGACAAUUAGGCGGCGGGCGCGGGGCGGGCGCGGCUCCAUCGUUCUGCGGUUAACCAGGCCCGGGCGCGCCGCCCCUUCGCCUCUGCGCCCGGGAGGGAGGGACGGGGGGCGGGGUAUCCCCUCCCCAUAAACAGCCGCAGAGCAGGUCCUGGGCAGCCCGCCGGCCACCCCUGUUUUCCUGCCUGACGGCCUGGGAACACAUCACGCAGCCAGCGCCCCCGGACCGGCUCGCAGGACCAGCUCGAGGACUGGUCGGUCCGCGGGAUGCUAGCCGGGCCCGCCAGGCGGCGCUGCUUCCCGCCCGGCCGCGGCCGGCUCUGCAACCCGAUGCUGUUUAAUUAACGUGCAAAUUGAGUAGAUUAAAUGACUCUAAAUAAUUAGCCACAGAUCCUAUAAACAGGAUAACAUAUUUAAUUAAGCAGCGAUAUAGAUUUUGGAAACUGUUAAUGUAUUUUUAGAAUGGCCGCUUAGAUCUUUCACUUUCCCCCCCUAACUUCAAACAUGUAACUACAGCCC
Long non-coding RNA from Bos taurus (domestic cattle), 3590 nucleotides. The record is from Ensembl. Lineage: Eukaryota; Metazoa; Chordata; Mammalia; Artiodactyla; Bovidae.